Molecule: ribosomal RNA, 840 nt
Filed under: Hyalinobatrachium talamancae (Talamanca glass frog)
Lineage: Eukaryota; Metazoa; Chordata; Amphibia; Anura; Centrolenidae
Description: partial large subunit ribosomal RNA
Rfam family: Bacterial large subunit ribosomal RNA
Source: RNAcentral
AACUAAUCCCACUGACACCAAAGAACCCUUAAACAUUACUGAACAAUUCUAUAUAGCUAUAGAAGAUUUUAUGUUAAAACUAGUAACAAGAAGAAGAACUUCUCCUACAAUGCAAAUUUAAAUCAGAUAGGACACCCCACUGAUAAUUAACGCCUAUGAAUAAAAAUAGAAACCAAACAAGAAAACCCUACUAAACUAUGCGUUAACCUAACACUAGAGCAUUUCAGGAAAGAUUAAAAGAAAAAGAAGGAACUCGGCAAACAUUAACCCCGCCUGUUUACCAAAAACAUCGCCUCUUGAAUAAAUAUAAGAGGUCCAGCCUGCCCAGUGACCAUGUUCAACGGCCGCGGUAUCCUAACCGUGCGAAGGUAGCGUAAUCACUUGUUCUUUAAAUAAGGACUAGUAUGAACGGCACCACGAAGGUUAUACUGUCUCCUAUUUCUAAUCAGUGAAACUAAUCUCCCCGUGAAGAAGCGAGGAUAAAAAUAUAAGACGAGAAGACCCUAUGGAGCUUCAAACUACAAGGCACCUGCUAAAACAUCACCAAAUUCCAGAAGACACCCACACCCAAGCAAGAUGACCUCUAGUUUUAGGUUGGGGUGACCGCGGAGAAAAAAACAACCUCCACAUUGAAAGGAACCCACUCCUUAGCUAAGAGCAACGCCUCUACGCACCAAUAAAAAGACAUUAAUUGACCCAAUAUUUUGAUCAACGAACCAAGUUACCCUAGGGAUAACAGCGCAAUCCACUUCAAGAGCCCCUAUCGACAAGUGGGUUUACGACCUCGAUGUUGGAUCAGGGUAUCCCGGUGGUGCAGCCGCUACCAAAGGUUCGUUUGUU